UACGUAGGCAGCGAGCGUUGUUCGGAGUUACUGGGCGUAAAGAGUGCGUAGGCGGUUUUCUAAGUUUGGUGUGAAAUCUCCCGGCUUAACUGGGAGGGUGCGCCGAAGACUGGAAGGCUUGAGUAUGGGAGAGGUAAGCGGAAUUCCUGGUGUAGCGGUGAAAUGCGUAGAUAUCAGGAGGAACACCUGCGGUGUAGACGGCUUACUGGACCAUCACUGACGCUGAGGCACGAAAGCUAGGGGAGCGAACGGG
This 253-nucleotide ribosomal RNA is filed under the name uncultured bacterium. Its description in RNAcentral is "partial 16S ribosomal RNA". It matches the Rfam family "Bacterial small subunit ribosomal RNA", at positions 524 to 776 of the family's 1533-position model. The record is from RNAcentral.